This is a long non-coding RNA of Oncorhynchus masou masou (cherry salmon), 452 nucleotides long. RefSeq lists it as uncharacterized. The transcript is spliced from 3 exons. The record is from RefSeq and is a predicted model, not a curated record. Lineage: Eukaryota; Metazoa; Chordata; Actinopteri; Salmoniformes; Salmonidae.
CUACAAUUCUCCUGUUGUGUGUUGUGUACCAGAUCAACCAGUCCCAGUUCAACAUGCACGUGGAGUACAGCUGCAUCAGGAUGAUCUGUACGAGAGUGAUGACGACCUGGACGACAAGACGGGUCCGGUGAAGAAGGAUGGAUCCGGCCCUUCAGUCUGUACCAGACCCACACCAGCUCCUCCAGCCAGGACCGAGGACUAGCAGGAGGAGGAGGAGAUGGACUCUUCAGUGUGGGUCGCAGGCUGGCCCUGGUCCGUGAUCAGAAGCGUGAAGUUUACGCCAUUCCCAGCGCUCACACAUGCAGCAUGGACAGCUCCCUGUCACCUUCACCCUCCUCACCUGCUCCCCCUUUCCCUCCCAGAGUCAAAGGUCCAAACGUCCCUCCCCCUCCUACCCAGUCAGCCAACCUGAGGGCUUGUGUGAUGUCAUCAUCCCCACCACCAGUAGCAGC